This 18-nucleotide small nuclear RNA is filed under the name Arabidopsis thaliana (thale cress). RNAcentral describes it as "snRNA_05866". The record is from RNAcentral. Lineage: Eukaryota; Viridiplantae; Streptophyta; Magnoliopsida; Brassicales; Brassicaceae.
AGCCUCUGGUCGAUGGAA